Molecule: small nucleolar RNA, 119 nt
Filed under: Echinops telfairi (small Madagascar hedgehog)
Lineage: Eukaryota; Metazoa; Chordata; Mammalia; Afrosoricida; Tenrecidae
Description: Small nucleolar RNA SNORA61 (ENSETEG00000026370.1)
Source: RNAcentral
CCUCUCCAGAUUCCUUGCCCAUCAGACCUGAACACUGAUCCAAGUGGCGAUCCAAGUAGGAAGAGUAAAAGGGAAACUGACAAACUCUUUGGGGACACAUGAGCUAGUUUCGAGCAAAU